This 252-nucleotide long non-coding RNA is filed under the name Lathyrus oleraceus (garden pea). RNAcentral describes it as "Pisum sativum (pea) long non-coding RNA (PSAT_LNC028909)". Lineage: Eukaryota; Viridiplantae; Streptophyta; Magnoliopsida; Fabales; Fabaceae. The record is from RNAcentral.
UUAAGGUCAUGUUCAUGAAAACUCAAACACACCAAUUAGCAACAAUAAUUUGCAGAUUUCACGUACUUUCAUAAUGUAUCAAUUUAACAUAAUACCGCACACAAAUUUCAUACCAUGAUGAACAUUCAAAACAAAUUCAUCAUAAUUUAAUAUCAAACAUACAUAUGCAUAAUCAAUUGGGGAAAAUGAGGGAAAACCUAAAGGAGGAUUAAGGAUUCCUCACUACCCUUUCAUGAAAUUAGCAUCCUAAUU